UAUCUUCCGGACAACAAGAGGCAUCAACAUGGCUGUCCCAACCGGGAGAUCUGUGGUCUUCGUGACUGGCAACGCAAAUAAACUAGAAGAGGUAGCAGAAUGGUUCACAAGAACCGACAUUCCAUGUAGAAAAGCCCUAUUGUGAACAUUAAACGUUGCAGCGUGUGCUGUUUAUUCGAGGCUUUACUUUGGCUAGAGCAAAGGCAGCCAACCCAUGUGAAUGCAUGGAAAUGACUGACGGGGAAUGUGGUGGUGGUUUUAGAUUACACUUGCACAGAUCAAAUGUUUUGAUAGCUGUUAUUAGCCUAAAAAAUAGAUUACGGUUCACCUCCUAGAUUACGGAGACAUUAUUUAUAGAUUGGCAGGUAUUGGUGCUCUCGACCGGCUGGCUAUAUGUUCUUUACCAUUCAGCCAUCAGAUUUGCCACCAAUGCUCCUUAUAGGACACAUCACUGCAUUCUAUACUCCUCUGUAAACUGGUCAUCUCUGUAUACCUCUCGCAAGACCCACUGGUCGAUUCUUAUUUAUACAACCAUUUUAGGCCUCACUCCCCAGUAGAUAUCUGAGAUAUCUACUGCAGCCCUGAUCCUCCACAUACACAUACAAUUUAUUCCGAAAAAUGUCUGUCCUCACUCUGGUAGCCUAUGGACAAACAUUAAGAAUAAGCUACGUGGGGAUUCAGAUCCUGGGGGACAAGUUUCCCUAUAAACUAGUGUCCAAGAAGAUUGACUGUGAGUACACCUUAUCAAUGGUUCCUGAAUAAACUGAAGCCAGAAGGAUCCUAUGGUUCUAAUGAUGAACUUAGCCUUAAGAUGCCUUUGGGCAUCGGCCCAGAUCAGUUUAAGAUGCUGGCUGGGUUUCAGGACAAGUCGGCCUGGGCUUUGUGUACCUUUGCCUUCUGUCCAGGGAAAGAGGAACCGGUACAACUCUUCAGAGGGAUAACUGAGGACCUGAGCCCUAGGACCAUGCCUCAGGACUACCUGGCAUGAUGACUCCUUGCUGCCCCAGUCCACCUGGCCGUGCUGCUGCUCCAGUUUUAACUGUUCUGCCUGCGGCUAUGGAAUCCUGACCUGUUCACCGGACGUGCUACCUGUCCCAGACCUGCUGUUUUCAACUCUCUGGAGACAGCAGGAGUGGUAGAAAUACUCUUAAUGGUCGGCUAUGAAAGGCCAACUGACAUUUACUCCUGAGGUGCUGACUUGCUGCACCCUCGACAACUGCUGUGAUUAUUAUUAUUUGACCAUGCUGUUCAUUUAUUAACAUUUGAACAUCUUGGCCAUGUUCUGUUAUGAUCUCCACCCGGCACAGCCAGAAGAGGACUGGCCACCCCUCAGAGCCUGGUUCCUCUCUAGGUUUCUUCCUAGGUUUUGGCCUUUCUAGGGAGUUUUACCUAGCCACCGUGCUUCUACACCUGCAUUUCUUGAUGUUUGGGGUUUUAGGCUGGGUUUCUGUACAGCACUUUGAGAUAUCAGCUGAUGUACAAAUGGCUAUAUAAAUCCAUUUUGAUUUGAUCUUUUCACAAAUAGUUUAAUGAGUAAUCACAUACGUUUCACAAUAUUUAGAUGUAAACCUGACAGCUGGGAAAUGUACAGGGAGCCACAAUCUACACCCAGAAAGGGCCACAUCAUGACACUAUUUUGACGAAUCUCAAAUAUAAAAUAUAUUUUGAUUUGUUUAACACUUUUUUUGGUUACUACAUGAUUCCGUAUGUGUUAUUUCAUAGUUUUAAUGUCAUCACUAUUAUUCUACAAUGUAGAAAAUAGUCAAAGUAAAGAAAAACCCUUGAAUGAGUAGGUGUGUCCAUACAUUUGACUGGUACUGUACGUGUCUUUUAUCUGAACUGUUACAUUGUAGAGCCUAGAGGCCCAGAGACUUUGGAUGGGACCCCUGUUUCCAGGCAGACUGAUAUGACAAAACAAAAGCAGGACUUAAUGCAGGACAUUUAUUUUACUGGGUUUAUGCAUCAUACUUUACCUGUCUUUUAUUGAAACUAAUGAUAGUGAUUAUUCCCAGUUUUACUGAUGAUUUGUAAGUUCUCUCUCUCGCUCUAUCAUCCCUGUAGUUAUGCUGAGCUACCCAAGGAGGUGAAGAACACCAUUUCCCAUCGGUAUCAAGCUCUGGCAGCCAUGUCUGGACACUUCUCCUCUCAGGACAAUGGCACACCAGACAGCAAGAAGAAGUAAUGGCUAUUAACCCCUGAUCUAGCAUCAGAUCACAUAACCAUUAGAGGGAUACAAAAUCUGACCCUGUAUCAGUGGUGGGGCAACUUCUACCUACUCUGACUUAUGGGUAUCAGAGUCUGAGCCAAUCAAACAGUUCUGAUGUUGAAUUUAGAUAGUGGUGCUUUUGAUACAGUGCCUUCAAAAAGUAUUCACACCCCUUGACUUUUUCCACAGUUUUGAUGUGUUACACAUGGGAUUAAAAUUGAAAAUGAAUUGUCAACGAUCUACACAAAAUACUCUACAAUGUCUAAGUUGAAGAUUUUUUAAAUCAAUUUAUAAAACACAAAGCACUAAUAUAUCUUGAUUCGAUAAGUAUUCAACCCCCUGAGUCAAUACAUGUUAGAAUCACCUUUGGCAGUGAUUACAACUGUGAGACUUUCUGGGUAAAUUUCUAAGAGCUUUGCACACCUGGAUUGUACAAUAUAUGCAAAUUAGUAUACUUUUUUUUCAAGCUCUGUCAAGUUGUUAGUUGAUCAUUACAACACAGCCAUUUAAGUCUUGCCAUAGUUAAGUCAAAACUGUAACUAGGUCACUCAGGAACAUUACAUGUUGUCUUGGUAAGCAACUCCAGUAUAUAAUUGGCCUUGUGUUUUAGAUUAUUGUCCUGAAAAUAUGUAGAAUGGUGCUGUUGUGUUGGAUUUGCCCCAAACAACACUUUGUUUUCAGGACAUAAAGUUAAUUUCUUUGGUACAUUUUUUGCAGUUUUACGUUAGUGCCUUAUUGCAAAAAGGAUGCAUGUUUUGGAAUAUUUUUUUUGGUACUGGCUUUCUUCUUUUCACUCUGUCAUUUAGGUUAGUAUUGUGGAGUAACUACAAUUUUUUUUGAUCCAGCCUCAGUUUUCUGCUAUCACAGCCUCAUUGUGAAAUUCCUGAGCAGUUUCCUUCCUCUCAGGCAACUGAGUUAGGAAGGACGCCUGUAUUUUUGUAGUGAUUGGGUGUAUUGAUACACCAUCCAAAGUCUAAUUAAUAACUUCUCCAUGCUCAAAGGGAUGUUAAAUAUCUACUUUUUAAUAUUUACCCACCUACCAAUAGGUGCCCUUUGCGAGGCUUUGGAAAACCUUGCUGGUCUUUGUUUCAAUCUGUUUUUUGAAAUUCACUGCUUGACUGAGAGACCUUAAAGAUCAUUUUAUGUGUGGUGUGCAGAGAUGAGGUAGUCAUUCAUGUUAAACACAAUUAUUGCAUCUGUGCAACUUAUGUGACUUGUUAAGCAUAUUUUUACUCUUGAACUUAUUUAGGCUUGCCAUAACAAAGGGGUGGAAUACAAUAUUGACUCAAGACAUUUGAGCUUUUAAUUUGUACACAUUUCUAAAAACCUAAUUCCACUUUGACAUUAUGGGGUAUUGUGUGUAGGCCAGUGACACAAAAUCUCAAUUUAAUCGAUUUUAAAUUCAGGCUGUAACACAACAAAAUGUGGGGGAAAGUGAAGGGGUUUGAAUACUUUCUGAAGGCACUCUAUGCUUUCCUUAAACUGGAAGAACUCAAGAUGUAUUGUGUCCUUUGUCCAACCUGGAUUAUGUGGGUUUAGAACCAAGACCUUUUGCUUUCUAGAGUGCAGACUCCAAACCAGGACUAUACUCAUACUGUAUGUGUGAUGUGUUACUGAGGCAGGUUCUGUGAGUGUGUAUGGAGUGCCCCAAGAGAAGUGUAUAAUAAACCAUAAACACUCUGC
Oncorhynchus keta (chum salmon) is the source of this 3889-nucleotide long non-coding RNA. RefSeq lists it as uncharacterized. The record is from RefSeq and is a predicted model, not a curated record. Lineage: Eukaryota; Metazoa; Chordata; Actinopteri; Salmoniformes; Salmonidae. The transcript is spliced from 4 exons.